Molecule: transfer RNA, 75 nt
Filed under: Danionella cerebrum
Lineage: Eukaryota; Metazoa; Chordata; Actinopteri; Cypriniformes; Danionidae
Description: tRNA-Val
Rfam family: tRNA
About the family: Transfer RNA (tRNA) molecules are approximately 80 nucleotides in length. Their secondary structure includes four short double-helical elements and three loops (D, anti-codon, and T loops).
Source: RNAcentral
GCUGUCCUAUGGCUCAGUUGGUAGAGCAUUGCGCUAACGAUGCAAAGGUUGUGGCUUCAAAUACCAGGGAAAGCG